GUGCCAGCAGCCGCGGUAAUACCGGCAGCCCGAGUGAUGGCCGAUCUUAUUGGGCCUAAAGCGUCCGUAGCUGGCUGCGCAAGUCCGUCGGGAAAUCCACUCGCCCAACGAGUGGGCGUCCGACGGAAACUGUUUGGCUUGGGGCCAGAAGAUCUGAGGGGUACGUCCGGGGUAGGAGUGAAAUCCUGUAAUCCUGGACGGACCACCGGUGGCGAAAGCGCCUCAGAAAGAUGGACCCGACGGUGAGGGACGAAAGCUAGGGUCUCGAACCGGAUUAGAAACCCCAGUAGUCC
This 293-nucleotide ribosomal RNA is filed under the name uncultured bacterium. RNAcentral describes it as "partial 16S ribosomal RNA". It matches the Rfam family "Archaeal small subunit ribosomal RNA", at positions 455 to 747 of the family's 1478-position model. The record is from RNAcentral.